This 513-nucleotide ribosomal RNA is filed under the name Pichia sp. RNAcentral describes it as "partial large subunit ribosomal RNA". It matches the Rfam family "Eukaryotic large subunit ribosomal RNA", at positions 121 to 656 of the family's 3401-position model. The record is from RNAcentral. Lineage: Eukaryota; Fungi; Ascomycota; Pichiomycetes; Pichiales; Pichiaceae.
UCGUGCUUUGCGGCACGAGUUGUAGAUUGCAGGUUGGAGUCUGUGUGGAAGGCGGUGUCCAAGUCCCUUGGAACAGGGCGCCCAGGAGGGUGAGAGCCCCGUGGGAUGCCGGCGGAAGCAGUGAGGCCCUUCUGACGAGUCGAGUUGUUUGGGAAUGCAGCUCCAAGCGGGUGGUAAAUUCCAUCUAAGGCUAAAUACUGGCGAGAGACCGAUAGCGAACAAGUACUGUGAAGGAAAGAUGAAAAGCACUUUGAAAAGAGAGUGAAACAGCACGUGAAAUUGUUGAAAGGGAAGGGUAUUGCGCCCGACAUGGGGAUUGCGCACCGCUGCCUCUCGUGGGCGGCGCUCUGGGCUUUCCCUGGGCCAGCAUCGGUUCUUGCUGCAGGAGAAGGGGUUCUGGAACGUGGCUCUUCGGAGUGUUAUAGCCAGGGCCAGAUGCUGCGUGCGGGGACCGAGGACUGCGGCCGUGUAGGUCACGGAUGCUGGCAGAACGGCGCAACACCGCCCGUCUUA